AGAAUGCUUUGUUCUGCUUUACUCUGUUUUCCAGGACCAAAGUUUUAUUCCACACUUUGCAGCACAUAUUAAACCCAUGUUAUUGUCUGAUAGAAUACUGAGGGUCCCCAAGGAGAGGGCUUGUUAGUGUAGGAAUGAUUUUUAAUAUGGUUAGCAUCUAUUAGAUUAUACGUUUUUAAAUAGUAUUAUAUUUAACAGGAAUAUAGGACAUCUAUGAGGAGUUAGGAUUAUUGUUGGGAUUAAGAUAGAUUGAUUAAGGAAUUUGGAGAAAAGCCGCUCAUAGACAUUUUUUUUCUAAAAGAGGGUCCAUGGGUUUGUAGUUCCCAUGUAGUUCAAAUUUGGAAAACAUGAGAAACAUACAGAGGAGCCCUCCCACGCACCGCAGAGACCUUGAAGGUGGGAGAGCAGAGAAGUUAGAGGGGGGUGCAGGAAGAGCAAAGAUAACAUAGUGGGUAAAUAAGUUUCUAAAUGGGUCAGAAUGGGAGCUGUAGAUAGAGGUAUUUGGCAUAAAGGGAAUCUACCUGUUUUACCUAAGUCACUGUUUAAAUAUGCUGCUGUAUUGAUACAUGAGCAAAGCCAUGUAUCAACAGGGGGGAUGGUAAGAAUGGUUAAACAGCACUUUGUAGCAUAUGGAAUAACUAACUAUUUUAAAAACUUUUGCUCACGGUGUACUAUAUUGAAUUAACUAAGAGUGAAAACAAGAAGUGGUGUUUAACAAUAAUUGAUAAAUAUACCAAAUGGGUAGAAGUGUUUCCUACAUCCUCAGCAGACGCAGAAACAGUGGCUAGAGCAUUAUGUCAGGAGAUAAUUCCGCGAUUUGGAUUACCAGAAGUAAUUGAGCAUAUAGGUCAGAAAUUGGAUAUAAAUAUGAAGAAACAUAGUUCUUAUCACCCCCAAAGCGCUGGCCUUAUCGAGAACAUGAAUCGAUCGGUAAAAGGUUGAUUAAGGAAAACACACCUAAGUACUGGAAUGAACGGGAUAAAAUGCCUGCCCAUAGUGUUAAUGACUAUUAGAAUAACCCCUGAUAGGGAGGGGCUAUCUCCAUUUGAGAAGGUUUUUGGUAGACCCUAUAGAAUGCCCCAAUUAGGGCGAUUAGAAAUAGAAAGCAGUAUGGUGGGACACAUGAGGAGGUUGUUCAUUAAUCAAACACGUAUGUCAAAAGUUUUAUGCCCAGCAGGAGAAUUAGAGGGAGGUGGCACACGAGAUUCAACCAGGAGACUGGAUCUGGAUCCAAUCAUUGAAGAAAAAAAACUGGAAGCAGCCUCGGUGGGAGGGACCAUUCCAAGUACUACUGGUGACUGCCUUCGCGGCCUUGUUUCCAGGACUCUGGAAAGAUCAAUGACCCAACGCCGAUUCCAGAUUCUGACCUGUGGAGGACUGGAGGCAUGUCUAAGGGAGGAAGUGGACGAAUCCGGAUCUGUCAUUUGUGGGGAAUUUAUGUUUGAUGAGAAUAGUGUUGAGAUGAAGGGGAAUUAGAUUGUAAUUUGUUUCAACGAUUAAACUGUUUUUUGAUAAA
Long non-coding RNA from Oncorhynchus gorbuscha (pink salmon), 1516 nucleotides. RefSeq lists it as uncharacterized. Lineage: Eukaryota; Metazoa; Chordata; Actinopteri; Salmoniformes; Salmonidae. The record is from RefSeq and is a predicted model, not a curated record. The transcript is spliced from 2 exons.